This 550-nucleotide unclassified non-coding RNA is filed under the name Hevea brasiliensis (rubber tree). The record is from RNAcentral. Lineage: Eukaryota; Viridiplantae; Streptophyta; Magnoliopsida; Malpighiales; Euphorbiaceae.
CUUGAUAAAUAUCAUCUGAGAUGAGGCCCAUUCCAUGUGCAAAAGGGAGAAGAGCAUUGCCCCCAUCAAAAUUUCCAUCUGUGACCCCAUUCCCCACGACGUAACCCUACAUAUCAACUCAAAAUAAUUACAUCAAUUAUGAAUUAUUUUCCCAAUUCUUACCUAUACUAACUAUUUCUUGCCAAAUUCACUCACCUUCAAAUUGAUAGUUGGCUUUGCACCAGCUUUGAUUCCUACAAGAGAACAUUUUCCUUAAUACAAUAUCUAGCUAGUAAUUUUUCCAUUGCUUGAGAGAUUGAAUUGGUUUAAUUUGAAAUUAAAAUCAGAAUAAAAUUAAUUAAAUUUAAAUUGAUCAAAAUCAUAAUUGAAGCAGAUAAAAUUAAUUAAUGUGGAAAAGAAAAAAGAAAUUAAUAAUUAGAUUUGAUCAAAAUCAUAUUGAACAUAAACUAAAAUCAGAAUUAAAAAUAGAGAUUUUUUAGUAUGGUACUUGUUUCUCUGGCACGAGAAUUAGAACAGUAUUUAAAUCUAGAACAGACUAUGGCCAUAUAUA